UUUUUUUGGUGAAUGACACAUAACACAGAACACCAGUCGUCGUCGAGCAAAGCCAGCUGGACGAUACCAUUUACGAUGCAAGCUCCGUAGACGAGCUUUCCGGAGCAGGAUCGUCGCCACGUUGUGUGACACCUGCAGUCACAGAACCAGAUAGGUCAAGGUACAGCGGGGAUACCGACCAAGAGGCAGCAUUUCAUACUAAAAGGC
Molecule: long non-coding RNA, 207 nt
Filed under: Dermacentor andersoni
Lineage: Eukaryota; Metazoa; Arthropoda; Arachnida; Ixodida; Ixodidae
Description: uncharacterized LOC126524401
Source: RNAcentral